RNAcentral lists this ribosomal RNA (1268 nucleotides) under Brevundimonas sp. MS48. Its description in RNAcentral is "bacterial SSU rRNA". It matches the Rfam family "Bacterial small subunit ribosomal RNA", at positions 117 to 1396 of the family's 1533-position model. Lineage: Bacteria; Pseudomonadati; Pseudomonadota; Alphaproteobacteria; Caulobacterales; Caulobacteraceae. The record is from RNAcentral.
GUGAGCAACCUGCCCCUGACUCUGGGAUAAGCGCUGGAAACGGUGUCUAAUACUGGAUAUGUGCCACGGCCGCAUGGUCUGUGGUUGGAAAGAUUUUUCGGUUGGGGAUGGGCUCGCGGCCUAUCAGCUUGUUGGUGAGGUAAUGGCUCACCAAGGCGUCGACGGGUAGCCGGCCUGAGAGGGUGACCGGCCACACUGGGACUGAGACACGGCCCAGACUCCUACGGGAGGCAGCAGUGGGGAAUAUUGCACAAUGGGCGGAAGCCUGAUGCAGCAACGCCGCGUGAGGGAUGACGGCCUUCGGGUUGUAAACCUCUUUUAGCAGGGAAGAAGCGAAAGUGACGGUACCUGCAGAAAAAGCACCGGCUAACUACGUGCCAGCAGCCGCGGUAAUACGUAGGGUGCAAGCGUUAUCCGGAAUUAUUGGGCGUAAAGAGCUCGUAGGCGGUUUGUCGCGUCUGCCGUGAAAUCCUCAGGCUCAACCUGAGGCUUGCGGUGGGUACGGGCAGACUUGAGUGCGGUAGGGGAGAUUGGAAUUCCUGGUGUAGCGGUGGAAUGCGCAGAUAUCAGGAGGAACACCGAUGGCGAAGGCAGAUCUCUGGGCCGUAACUGACGCUGAGGAGCGAAAGGGUGGGGAGCAAACAGGCUUAGAUACCCUGGUAGUCCACCCCGUAAACGUUGGGAACUAGUUGUGGGGUCCUUUCCACGGAUUCCGUGACGCAGCUAACGCAUUAAGUUCCCCGCCUGGGGAGUACGGCCGCAAGGCUAAAACUCAAAGGAAUUGACGGGGACCCGCACAAGCGGCGGAGCAUGCGGAUUAAUUCGAUGCAACGCGAAGAACCUUACCAAGGCUUGACAUACACGAGAACGGGCCAGAAAUGGUCAACUCUUUGGACACUCGUGAACAGGUGGUGCAUGGUUGUCGUCAGCUCGUGUCGUGAGAUGUUGGGUUAAGUCCCGCAACGAGCGCAACCCUCGUUCUAUGUUGCCAGCACGUAAUGGUGGGAACUCAUGGGAUACUGCCGGGGUCAACUCGGAGGAAGGUGGGGAUGACGUCAAAUCAUCAUGCCCCUUAUGUCUUGGGCUUCACGCAUGCUACAAUGGCCGGUACAAUGGGCUGCGAUACCGUGAGGUGGAGCGAAUCCCAAAAAGCCGGUCCCAGUUCGGAUCGUAGUCUGCAACUCGACUACGUGAAGUCGGAGUCGCUAGUAAUCGCAGAUCAGCAACGCUGCGGUGAAUACGUUCCCGGGUCUUGUACACACCGCCCG